AUUAAACGCUGGCGGCAUGCCUUACACAUGCAAGUCGAACGGCAGCACGGGGGCGAACCCUGGUGGCGAGUGGCGGACGGGUGAGUAACACAUCGGAACGUGCCCUGGAGUGGGGGAGUAACGCAGCGAAAGCUACGCUAAUACCGCAUAUUCUGUGAGCAGGAAAGCAGGGGAUCGCAAGACCUUGCGCUGAUUGAGCGGCCGAUAUCAGAUUAGCUAGUUGGUGAGGUAAAGGCUCACCAAGGCGACGAUCUGUAGCGGGUCUGAGAGGAUGAUCCGCCACACUGGAACUGAGACACGGUCCAGACUCCUACGGGAGGCAGCAGUGGGGAAUUUUGGACAAUGGGCGCAAGCCUGAUCCAGCCAUGCCGCGUGAGUGAAGAAGGCCU
This 389-nucleotide ribosomal RNA is filed under the name uncultured bacterium. RNAcentral describes it as "bacterial SSU rRNA". It matches the Rfam family "Bacterial small subunit ribosomal RNA", at positions 29 to 417 of the family's 1533-position model. The record is from RNAcentral.